Long non-coding RNA from Cyprinus carpio carpio, 1773 nucleotides. NCBI's taxonomy places the organism in Eukaryota, Metazoa, Chordata, Actinopteri, Cypriniformes, Cyprinidae. The record is from Ensembl.
CUGUGUUAUUUCCAACAAAACAUGCAAAUUUUCAUCAUUGAGAGUACAACUUUUUCUUUUGAAAGUACAUUUAGUACACACUAAAGAUUUGGCUGGAAAUGUAAUUCAGGUUUAAACUUCACCCAAAAGCAUCCAAAGACUAACAAAAUUCUUACUUGUCCCUUGACAGCUUCGAUUUCAUUCUGAAGUCUGCUGAUCAUGCGGUUGAGCUCAGCAAUCUCCUGCUUGGUGUUGCGAAGGUCGUCUCCGUAUUUGCCGGCAGAUGACUGCAUCUCCUCGAACUAGGUGGUGAAAAGAGAGUCAUUGUGAUUAGGAUCUGUCAGUUGAUUGCGUUAAAAUAAUGUUGGUUUGAUGCUUGAAUGUAUUUUCUCACCUUCUGUUUGUACCACGACUCGGCCUCAGCACGGCUGCGGUUGGCGAUGUCCUCAUACUGUGCACGGACCUCAGCAACAAUGGAAUCCAUGUCCAGGCUGCGACUGUUGUCCAUUUCAACAAUAACUGAUGUGUCUUUAAUCUGUGACUGGAGUUCACGCAGCUCCUAAAAUUGCAAGGUGAAUGUUUGAGAUAAACCUAAUAUUGAAAAUUGGCAUCUCAGUGGUAAUAUAGUUUCAUCAAACUCUCACCUCCUCAAAGAUGGCCCUGAGGAAGUUAAUUUCAUCUUGAAGAGAAUCAAGCUUGGCCUCAAGCUCAACCUUGUUCAUGUAGGCGGCAUCAACAUCCUAUGAAGACAUGUAAAGAGCUCAAUAUAGUAUGUGGCCUUUACAGAUGUACAAUGAAAAGAAAUGCAACUAUAACUAGAAAAUCAAGACAGCAGCCAAGUGUUUUACCUUCUUGAGCAGGACAAAUUCGUUUUCCACUGAGGCACGCUUGUUGAUUUCAUCCUCAUAUCUGCAAAGAUAAGUUUUCUGCUUUAGCAUAUUGUGCUAAUUAUACCAUGCACACAAAGUGUAAUUCAUAGAGUAUAAAUCUGCUCUUGCACAGCCACUCACUUGUUCUUGAAGUCCUCUACCAAGUUCUGCAUGUUCUUCAGCUCUCCUUCUAGCUUCAUCUUCUCAUUACCAAGUCCGUCAAGCUGUCUGCGCAGGUUGGCGAUAUAGGCCUCGAACAUGGCGUCGAUGUUGGAGCGGGUGGUGGUCUGGUCCUGCAGUAAACUCCAUUUUGUCUCAAGUACUUUGUUCUUAAUCUGCUCUUUCUCCUGGGUGCGGACAACUUGGAUGUUGGGGUCGAUUUCUAGGUUCAGUGGGGCUAGGAGGCUCUGGUUGACUGUGACAGCUGUGAUGGGUGCCAUACCACCAGGGAACCCUCCACCUAGACCAAAUCCUGAACCACCGCCAUAUCCUGCACCACCACCGAAUCCUGCACCACCGCCGAAUCCUGAACCACCGCCGAAUCCUGCACCACUGCCAUAACCUCCUCCGAGACCGCCUCCAUAGCCUCCGCCGCCAAUGCUGUAGCCGAAGCUUGCUCCAGAUCCUCCGCCAAAGCCGCUGCCAAAGCCACCGCCGCCGCCGCCUCCACCGCCACUGCGACGGUAUGACACAGUGCUCACCCUGCUGCCAAUGGGUACUGCACUGGCAGACAUACUAGAGAAGGACUGCCUCAUGCCUCCACCAAAGCCACCGCUCAAGCUUCCACCGCCGGUACUGUAGGUAGUGGUUUUGACCGAUUUCAUGUUUGCUGUUAUCUAUGUAGGGGUUAGGAUCAGACAGAGAAAGAACAGGAUGAGACAGAGAGAUCCAGAGCAGGCAAGCUCACUAAGAGGUGAGUUAAAAU